CACGUAGGGGGCGAGCGUUGUCCGGAAUCAUUGGGCGUAAAGAGCUCGUAGGCGGCUCAGUAAGUCGGGUGUGAAACCCCCAGGCUCAACCUGGGGACGCCACCCGAUACUGCUGUGGCUAGAGUCCAGUAGGGGAGUGUGGAAUUCCCGGUGUAGCGGUGAAAUGCGCAGAUAUCGGGAGGAACACCAGCGGCGAAGGCGGCACUCUGGGCUGGAACUGACGCUGAGACGCGAAAGCGUGGGGAGCGAACAGG
This 254-nucleotide ribosomal RNA is filed under the name uncultured bacterium. RNAcentral's name for it is "partial 16S ribosomal RNA". It matches the Rfam family "Bacterial small subunit ribosomal RNA", at positions 524 to 776 of the family's 1533-position model. The record is from RNAcentral.